GUCAGGAAAUUUCCUAAGAUAGAUCAGUCACAUUCUCUUUUUUCCUGUGAGUGGUUCUGCACUAUUUUGGGUGCAUCCCUUUAGCUUGGGGUGGCUGUACAGAGGCCCGGAAUCCCCCUCCCCUAUGGGAUCAGCAUGGUGCCAUCCUGAAAUAUUCCCCCAUGGCAGGAGAUGUGGUAAGGUGAAUCGAACACCUUCUCUUUAUUCCUGUGAUAUUUUCUGAGCCAUUUUGGAAGCAUCCCAUUAGCUGGGAGCUGCUAUACAGUGGCCAGGAAGCCGCCUCCACUCUGGGAGCAGCAUUGUGCCAUCCCAAAAUAUUUCCCCGUGGCAGGAGAUGUGAUAAGGUGGAUGGAACACAUUCUCUUUUUUCCUGUGAGCAGUUCUGAACCAUUUUGGAAGCAUUCCAUUAGCUGCAAAUGGUCGUCCAGUGGCACACAAUCAGCCUCCACUACUGGAGUGAGGUAGUGCGAGGCCACAAUCCUCCCCCAUGGCAUGAGAUGUGGUAUGACAGAUUGAACGCAAUCUCUUCUUCUUGUGAUAGGUUAUAAAAAAUUUUGGAAGCAUCCUGUUAGCUGGGAGAGGCCAUAUGGUGGCCUGGAAUCUACCUUCACUCCUGGUGUUGGGUAGUGCCUGGCCAGAAUCCUCUCCCUUGGCAGGAGAUGUGGUAUGGCAGAUUGAACACAAUCUCUUUUUUCCUGUGAUAUUUUUCUGAGCCAUUUCUGAAGCAUCCCAUUAGCUGGGAGUGGCCAUACAGUGGCCAGGAAGCCACCUCCACACUCUUAGCAGCAUUUUGCCAUACCAAAAUAUUCCCCCGUGGCAGGAGAUGUGUUAUGUUCAUUGGAACGCAUUCUCUUUAUUCCUGUGAGUGGUUCAGAGCCAUUUCAGAAGAAUUCCAUUAGCUUGGAGCAGACAUACAGUGGACUGGAAUUUGUCUCCACUAUGGGAGCAGCGUGGUGCCCUGCUAGAAUCCUCCCCGAGGGCAGGAGAUGUGGUAUUACAGAUUGAACAAAAUCUCAUUUUCCUGUAAUUGGUUCUGAGCCAUUUUGGGAAGCAUCCCAUUACCUGGGAGUGAUUGUACCAUGGCCUGGAAUCUGCCUCCACUAAGGGAGCAGCAUGGUCCCAGGACAGAAUCCUCCCCUGUGACAGGAGAUGUGGUAUGGUAUAUUGAACACAAUCUCUUUUUACUGUGAGUGGUUCUGAGCCAUUUCAGAAGAAAUCCAUUACCUGAGAGCAGCAGUAUGGUUGCCAGGAAGCCACCUCCACUAAGGGAGCAGCAUUGUGCCAUCCCAAAAUAUUCCCAGGUGGCAGUAGAUGUGGUAAGAUGGAUGGAAAACAUUCUCUUUUUUCCUGUGAGUGGUUCUGAGCCAUUUCAGAAGCAUCCCAUUAGCUGUGCUCAUCAGUACCUUGGCCCAGAGUCUGCCUCAAGUAUGGGAGCAGCAUAGUGCCAUGCCCGAAUCUACCCCCAUUGCAGCAAUUUGGUAACAUAGAACGAAUGCAUUCUCUUUUUUCCUGUGAGCUGUUCUGAGCCAUUUUGGAAGCAACCUAUUAGGAGUUGUGGUUCGGUGGCCAGGAAGAUGUCUCCACUUCGGGAGCAGCAUUGUGUCAUCCCAAAAUAAUCCCCCAUGGCAGGAGAUGUUUUAAGGUGGACUGUACACAUUCUCUUUUCUCUUGUGAGUGGUUCUGAGCCAUUUCAGAAGCAUCACAUUUAGAGCAGCCAUAUGUUGUCCCAGAAUCCACCUCCACUACUGAAGCAGGGUAAUGCCAGGCCAGAAUCCUCCACUUUAGCAGGAGAUGUGCUGUUGCAGAUCGAAUGCAAUCUCUUUUUUCCUGUUAUUGGUUCUGAGAAAUUUUGGAAGCAUCCCUUUAGCUGGGAGUGACAACAUUUUGGCCAGGAAGCUGCCUCCUCUAUGGGAGCAGCAUUCUGGGAUCCCAAAAUAUUCCCCGUGGCAGGUGAUGUGGUAAUGUGGAUGGAACACAUUCUCUUUUUUCCUGUGAGCUGUUCUGAGCCAUUUGAGAAGCAUCCUGUUAGCUGUGAUCAUCGGUACUGUGGCCAGGUGUCUGCCUUCAAUUUGGGAGUGGCAUGGUGCCAUGCCAGAAUCCUCCCCCAUUACAGGAAAUGUGGUAAGGCAGAUUGAACGCAUUGUCUUUUUCCUGUGAGCAGUUCUGAGCCAUGUGAGAAGCAACCCAUUAGCUGGGAGUGGCAGAACGGUGGCUGGGAAGAUGCCUCCACUUGGAGAGCAUCAUUGUGCCAUUCCAAAAUACUCCCCUGUAGCAGGAGAUGUGGUAAGAUGGAUGGAACACAUUCUCUUUUUUACUGUGUGUGGUUCUGAACCAUUUUGGAAGCAUCCAAUUAGCUGGGAGUGGCUGUAAGGUGGCCUGAAGUCGGCUCCACUAUGGGCGUGGAGUGAUGCCUUGCCAGAAUCCUCCCCUGUGGCAGGAGACGUGUUAAGGUAGAUCGAACGAAAUCUCUUUUUUACUGUGAGAGGUUCCGAGCCAUUUCAGAAGCAUCCCAUUAAAUGGGAGUGUCCGUAAUGUGGCCCAGAAACAGCCUCCAAUAAGGUAGUGACAUGGUGCCAUCCCAAAAUAUUCCCCCUUGCAGGAGAUGUGGUAAGUUAGAUAGAACACACUCUCUUUUUUACUUUGAGAGGUUCUGAGUCAAUUUAGAAGCAUCCCGUUAGCUCAGAUCGGGCUUAUGUCAAACUGGAAGGCAACUCCAUUACAGGAGCAGUGUAGUGCCAGGACAGAAACCUCCUCUGUGGCAGGAGAUGUGGUAUCACAGAUUGAAAACCAACUCAUUAUUCCUGUGACAGGUCCUGAGCAAUUUUGGAAACAACCCGUUAGCUUGGAGUGGUGGUUCAUUGGCCAGGAUGACGCUUCCACUUUGAGAGCAGAAUUGUGCCAUCUCAAAAUAUUCCCCCAUGGUACGAGAUGUGGUAAGGUGAAUGGAACGCAUUCGGAUUAGGGUAAGUUCAUGGUGAGGGUUAAGGAUAAUGUAGAAUUUCAAGUACCUGGGUAUUGGAAUUUGUUCCUGGUGCUUAGGGUUAGGGAUAGGAUUAGUUUUGGGUUUAGGGUUCCAUUUCAUGUACCUGAUGUUUGGAGUGUGGGUAUGAUUUUGGGGGUUAGGGUUCUUCUUUUAGUAAGUGUCAUGGAUAGGGCUGAAAUUGAGGUACCUGAAAAUGACUUAGGGUUAGGGAAGGGUAAGUGUUAGGCUUAGGGUUAGGGUUAGGGUGAUAGAUAGCAUUGAAAUUGAAAUGCCUGUGUCUUCAAGUGUGGGAUGGAAAGUUAGUAUUAGUGUAAUUCAUGAUGAGGGUUAGGGAUACUGUAGAAUUUCAAGUACCUGUUUAUUGGAAUUUGGUCCUGUUGCUUAGGGUUAGGGUUAGGGAUAGGAUUAGAAGUAGGUUUAGGUUUAGGGUUCCAAUUCAUGUACCUGCCGUUUGGAGGGUGGGUAUGAUUGUUAGGGUUAGGGUUCUUCUUUUCGUAAGGGUCAUGGAUAGUGCGGAAAUAGCGGUACCUGAGGAUGACUUAUUGUUCUGGUAGGGUUAGGGCUAGGGUUAGGGUUCGGGUCAGGGUGAUAGAUAGCAUUGAAAUUGAAAUGCCUGUGUGUUCCAGGGUGGGUUGCAAAGUUAGUAUUAGCGUAAGUUCGUGGGGGAGGGGGGAGGCAUAAUGUCAAAUGUCAAGCCCCUGGGUAUUGUGAUUUGGUCCUGGGCCUUAGGGUUAGGGUUAGGGUUAGAAGUAGGUUUAGGUUUAGGGUUCCAAUUCAUGUACCUGCCGUUUGGAGUGUGGGUAUGAUUGUUAGGGUUAGGGUUCUUCUUUUCGUAAGGGUCAUGGAUAGUGCCGAAAUAGCGGUACCUGAGGAUGACUUAUUGUUCUGGUAGGGUUAGGGCUAGGGUUAGGGUUCGGGUCAGGGUGAUAGAUAGCAUUGAAAUUGAAAUGCCUGUGUGUUCCAGGGUGGGUUGCAAAGUUAGUAUUAGCGUAAGUUCGUGGGGAGGGGGAGGCAUAAUGUCAAAUGUCAAGCCCCUGGGUAUUGUGAUUUGGUCCUGGGCCUUAGGGUUAGGGUUAGGGUUAGAAGUAG
Heterocephalus glaber (naked mole-rat) is the source of this 4072-nucleotide long non-coding RNA. The record is from Ensembl. Lineage: Eukaryota; Metazoa; Chordata; Mammalia; Rodentia; Bathyergidae.